CAAUAGCAUAUAUUAACUUUGUUGCAGUUAAAAGGCUCGUAGUCGAAUGUAUGGCGUUCGGGGCCUGGCCGGUCGCCAAGUGCGGCGUGUGCGAGUGCCCGGGAGUCAUCCUGAUGGAGAGUGCGUCUGGCCUUGAUUGGUUGGGUCGUUGACAAUCCAUCUCGUUUACCGUGAGUAAAUCAAAGUGUUCAAAGCAAGCUGAGAAGCUUGAAUGUUCUAGCAUGGAAUAAUAAGAUAGGACUUGGGUUCUAUUUUGUUGGCUUUCGGAGCUCGAGUAAUGAUCGAUAGGGAUGGUCGGGGGUGCUCGUAUUUAACGGUCAGCGGUGAAAUGCGUAGACCCGUUAAAGACGAACGACUGCGAAAGCAUUCACCAAGGACAUCUUCUUUGA
Molecule: ribosomal RNA, 389 nt
Filed under: uncultured eukaryote
Lineage: Eukaryota
Description: partial 18S ribosomal RNA
Rfam family: Eukaryotic small subunit ribosomal RNA
Source: RNAcentral